CCUGAGCCUACAGAUCCGCUAAUUCAUUCUCCAAUCCAAUGAUAUAUACAGCAAAAUAACCAAUCAUCAUAGACAAUAGAACCCUUAAGCUUAAAUACAUUAAUCUCCUUUUCUUUUUCUCUUUCUUUUUCUUUUUUAAAUUUAUUUACGCUGCAAGAAUCAGUACUUUAAUUGUACCCUGGCUAUUUGCAGCUAGCAUCGUAGGGCUGUCACUCUUCCAGCAGACAGCACUAAUAAAGUAAGAUCCGGCAUCCUCAUCGGCAUCAUCCAUUUCAGGUGAACCAAAUCUGUGCCAUGUAACAGGUUUGGAGAUUUCCUUGUGGUAGACAAAAACAUCAUUUGUUUCGCUGCCACAUGCAAUGUAAUCAUAGUUUACUGAGAGGCCUACAAAAUUUUUUUCAUUUG
Molecule: unclassified non-coding RNA, 405 nt
Filed under: Hevea brasiliensis (rubber tree)
Lineage: Eukaryota; Viridiplantae; Streptophyta; Magnoliopsida; Malpighiales; Euphorbiaceae
Source: RNAcentral